UCUUUUUUUUUUUUUUGGCAUGUUUUUGAACAAUUUGCUUAUAGGUAUCUAAACUUUUCAAUACCAUAUAAACCAAUCUUCUUUUAUGCUAUAAUAUACACUAUUAUUUAAAUAUUAGAUCGGGUUGGAUCAUCUAUUAAUAACGGGUUCAUUGAAAAAUUAUAAAAAAUUUAUGUAAAAAUAUUGAGUUUUUCAAAGAUUGAUGGUUGGGUCUUUCAUGAUUUUUCUCCCAAAAAAAUUUUAUUUGAAUUUAUGGCCCUACUUAUUAUUUUCUUGUUCAUUUCUUUCUUUCUAGUUGUAGGAAAUGCGUUUUCUCUCACUUGAUAAUAUUCAAAAGGAAAAGGAUUUUUAUUAUUAUUUUAUUGAUAAAUUAAAUGUAGUUUAAAAAAUAUCUAAUUAAAUUUAAAAAUUUUAAAAAUAUGUAAAUUUAUAAAAUAUAUUAUAAUUAAAUAUAAAUAAAAAUAUUUUAAAAUCAUUUAAUUUGAACUUGACCUUAGUAUGGCCAACUUAAGAUAAAAAAAUCAUCAUCCAGGUUUUAAACCAAGGCAAGCUAAGUUUAUCAAGUCGUGUGGGCCACUCGAUCUUUUGACAAGUAUCACUUUGAAUCUAAAAUUUGGGUAUAAGUAAUAUAUUUAUACUAAUAAUCAAAUUUAUUGAAUUGAUGUCAUGACUUAAAUGGACAUAAACACGAACUCAAUUGAAAAAAAAUUCAAAAAUAAACAAAUAAAUAUUUUGAUAAUUGUACAUCUAAAUGCAAAUAGGGUAAAAAAAAUUCAAUAAUAUUAGUUUCUUUUGUGGGAACAAAAAGCAAAUUAGAAAUCAAUUAAUCAUAGCAUACCCUCCCUUUAGUCACUAGAAUAGCAUCAUCACGAAGUAAAUUAAGCGCUUCAUCCGAUGGAUACCUUUAAGUUUGAGUCUCCAACGGUGAGCUCAAUGCCAUCUUAGUUAAAGAAUGAACAACAUUGCAUUCCCUAUAAGUGUGUUCAAUUAUAAUAUCCCAAUCCCUCUUCAGCAAAAAAUUGGUUUGUUGUAGGAUUGUAAGGGACCUGAAAUAUUCAUUAAGUAGAGAUAAGAAAAGAUGAGCCCGAGAUCAACGUUAGUAAUCAUGUAUGAACCUUUGUAAACCUCUAGUCAGUAAAACGGUAUGAUAUGGAUUCCAUGGCCGACUGAACAUUGAUCCAAAUUUAAAGUCAUGUCGUUUUCUCAAGCUCAAUCAUGAGUUGUGUUCUGAUGCGUUGAUACUGUUUAGAUAUAAUCACACAACAGGAUGAAACACCAUAGAAUGUCAUGAACAAUAAGCUCUAAAAAGAAGGUAUAGUCCCUCUGGAUACACAACCUACAGUGUGGUUUCACUUUCAAGUGUUGGCACAUCUCUUUCCACACCUUUAAGACAACCUGUGCACACGAUGGAGAGUUAUCAGUUUUGACCAGGUGAGUUAUUCUUAUCUUUAUAAGCAACAAAACUACGAUUAUUUAUCCUUACUCAAGCAAAUAUAAAGCAAACCAUAGAUUGAAGCCUCCUAAUUGAUUAAGGGAUAAAAGUGUCAAGCCUUAGCCAUCUCCAAUUCAUCCUCCCUGGGAGAUUGUCUACAAACACCCAAACACACCUAUGGCGUUCCCUUGUUCCUCUCAUUCUUGGUAUAUAUUGCUCUUUCGUUGGUGUUUUAUGUGACAUGAUAUCCUUGGCAGGGGCAAAGCCAGAACAAUCUUUUAAGGGGCCGAAUGAAAUUUUAAUUUUUAUAGUCUAUAUCUUUAUAAUUUUUAAAGGAUUAAAUCGAAAAUUUAUAAUUUUAGGAGGGCAAAAUAUACAUUUAUUUUUACUAAUUUAAAAUUUUUAAAAAAAUUAAAGAUUUAAAUAGUAAUUUUACUUUUUAGGGGGGGCCGGGGCCUAUGCCAACCCCCCUUUAGAUUCGCCACUGAUCCUUAGUAUAUAUUGUUGAUACUUAUUUUGGAUUAUAAUUUAUUGUUGAUGUCUUAUAACGGUGCUUGAGAGUCUUGGAAUGUAGGACAAGAAGUCGCAAGGAUCAAAGAAAUUUCAGCUGUCAUUUUAUUAUAACUUGAUGAUGCAUGAAAUCUAUAAAACGAUCCAUUAAAUAAUUUUCCUUUUUGAAUCACUAUUUCUUAACCAUCAAAUAAUUUUUAUCUUUCGUACAUAUUUUUAAUGAUUUUAUAUUAAUUAUCUCUCAAUUAUAUCCAAUUUCAAGUAUUUAAAUAGAGUUUCAAAUAUGUAUACAAAAUAUGAUAUUUUGGCUUUCUUUUUCAAUUUCAAAACCUAAUCCCAAGUUCCAUGUGAAUCCUUUUGGAGACAAAGAUCCACGUGGCCUGCCGAUAAAACCGUUUGGGCGCGUCCUACGUUUCUUCCCCCAUGAAUCACGAACCUCAACAUAACAACAACAUUAACAGCCCCAUCAAUAUUACAUAAAAGAUUACUACAAUCCAUUAAAAUCUUAUUUUACAACUUAGUUUUAAGACCAUCUUUAGUUCCUUUAAACAAUAUUUAGCUUGAUUACACACAUUCUGGUAUGUUUUUCUUUAGGUCUUCAGUUCUAAUGUAAAUUUUAGUAAUCAUCGUUAGUGAAAGAGUUUUUGUUUCUUGUUUCUUGUUUGGAUUUUAGCAUUAGGAAGUCUUUUUUGUUGUUGUUAUUUUUCUUUGUUAUUAUCAUCACCAAACAAAGCAUUAAUGUAAUUCUUCUUUAGAUUCAUAAAUUUGCAGAGAGGCUUAUCAUAAGAAUUGGAGAGAACCCGUCAUGGAGAUGAUGAUGUUGAUGAUGAUGAUGAUGAUGAUGAUUGGUUCAAUGGCAGAUGAUACCAAUGAUGUUUACAGUCCAUGUGAUGAUGCCAAAGUGCAGAAACUAGAUGGGUUUACAUUUGGUGUUGCAUUUUCAAAAAAGGAAUUUUUCUCCUUCGAAAAUGUGCAGCUUUCUCCAUGUGAUAGUCGCCUUGGUUUAGCCACCAAAAGUGCACAACUUGCUGUUUUUAGGCCAAAGCUAGACGAAAUUUCUCUCCUUACCAUCAAUGGCAGCGAUCUCGUACGUAUAUUUUUUACCUUGAUUUCUUUUUAUAUAUUUUACCAUAGACAUAUUGAUUUGUUAUCAAUCAAAGAGACAGAGAUUGUUUAGGGCAUACAGUUUUUUGUAUUUCAUGUCUUGUCCAUAGCUUGAUAUUUAUUGCAAUAAUUUUGGUGUUUCUUUCUUGUUUCUGCAUGUAUGUCGCGUUGGACUGUGACGAUUACGUUUAAACACUUUUAUUUUUAUUAUUUCUAAACAAAUCAAGCUUUUCAACAUAAAUCAAUUAGGUUAAGCCUUGGGUUUUGUUUUGUAGAACUAGAAAAAUCGUAUUAUGUUAUGAGAAUUAGUAGGUAAAUGCAAAUGUUAAUCAAAACUUCCAAAAAUUUUGAAACUUUUUUCUUCUUUCCUUUUUUUCUUGGAUUUUAAGCUUAAAGCUGGUGGAUACAUGGUAGCAUUUGCAGGGAGGAAAUAUGCAGCCAGAUCAUUACCGAUAAUGGUUGCCGAUGACAAAAACACCAUAACUAGCUUCACUUUGGUAAGAACCUCAUUAAUGGGUUAUUUAGUUAUAUUUCCAGCCUAAUCAUACUUGAGAAGACAUUACGCAUAUAAUGUCAUCUUUAAGAGUCUUGAACUUGCAAGCUCUUAGAGUUCUCAAACAAUUUUCGAUGUCAAUUGAACUAAUCUCCUCUACUAUUUCGGAAUUUGAGAUUAAUCUUUCAAUUUUUUUUAUAAUAUCAUUAAUAUGUCUAAAUUGAUAACAUUGUUAAUUGCUACCGCUAAAAUGUAAACUAAAUUAACUAUUAAUUAAUUUACGGUGUUAUCAAUUUAACCAUUAGCGCAAUGACAAAAAGAUUUUCAUUAAUUUUAAGUUUACAAUUUAUAUCAAGUUAAAAGUUUGAACCCCGAACUUAUACCCCUUCCAUCUCAACAAUUCCCCCUAAAAAAAGAGAUUAGAUCUUAAAUUUUAAUAUAAUAGAGGGAUUAAAACUGAAAUUAGAUCUUAUUUUUACCUUUAUUUUUAUUUUUUGCUUAGAUAACAUAUUUAGUUUGUUUUAAAUCCAUAGGUUCUUGAAUUCAAACAAGGUACUCUACAAAAUUUAUUUUGGAAAAGUUCUGGUUGUGAUUCAUGCUCCGGAGAGUCAGCUACUUGUCUCAACAACCAAGACUGUGCAAGACCAACCUCAAAAUGUGGGCAAAAUGGGUGCAACUUGGGCAUACAGUUAGCAUUUUCUGGGACAGACAAGAACCUUGAAGCACUCAAUUCAUGGUACGAAGUUAGCAAAUUCCGACAAAAUUCACUCUAUGGACUGUACGCAGAUCUACGUGACAAGCUUUUCUAAGUUUGCAAAUUCCCAUGAAUUGCCGAUGGCCUUCGAUUUGUUAUUAUUGAUGGUCUAAUUCUUCUACUCAUUCGAAAUUUAGACAUUCUAACUCUAAUAAACAUAUUUUGGUUACAACCUUAUAUUCAAGAUUUUUGUUUACUUAUCUGGAUUUCUAAAUUUUUAAAUUAAAAUAAAGGGAUUAAAUUUUAAAUAUGGAAAGAAUAUAGGGACCGAGAGCAUCAUUAGGAAUAGUAUAAAAUGUGCGAGAAAGUGAUGUAGAUUUACUUGUAAAAACCUAAGCAAACCCCAAAACUAAAACCUAUAAAUAGGUGAUAGAAUUGUGCUAACACUCCAUUUUCCCAACCUGCAAAAUACAAUAUCUAAUUGUAUCGUAAUGAAAAAGUUGAUUUACAGAAUGUUACAGAUUUAAUUCAAGAAACUCAACAUAUAGAGCAAUCUUCAACAAAACCUAAUUUUCUAUUCUAUAAAUUAUAUAAGAGAUGAAUUGAUUUGAUUAAAAAAUAAUUACAACAAAAUAAAAAGGAAAAACACGUGACAUAAUUUUGGAAAGGGGCAGUGAUGGAGGAUUUGCUCUCUAGAGUCCCCAUCACACUUUGAUUAAAGUUGUUCAUAUUAGAAGGUAUAACUUGAAAUCUUCGUUCUCUAUCUUUUCUCCAAUUUUCAUGUCAGAGUAUGUUGACACUAAAGUCGGGAGGCCAUAGAAUUUUUGUGCAGGCAACUAGCGAGAGAGAAAUGGUUGCGGUGCAAAUGCAGUAGGUAAGUUCUUGAUUUUGAGAAAAAAACUAGUUUUAGGGUAUUAUCAAUUUCUUGAACUGCAACAUUAGUUUAUAGGGUUUUAUGUAUUGUUAAUUAGGUUUCUUGAUGUGCUUUUCUUGAAUCUGGUUCAGGAGCAUGGAGGGAAUGUGGGCAGAGCACUAACAACUUAUUACUGUCAAUUAGCUGCAAGAAACGUGUACGGCUAGCUUCAAGCCAAAUUACAGUGGAUGCCUGUUUUCCUUUUCAAUUCAUUUUAACUAUAAAAGUUUGACUUUUUUAGCUUGUUAGCACUCGAUAUGUGGGCUUGUUUUUGAACGCCACUUGUUUUGUUUUUAAUGGUAAGUGUGCUUAGCAAAUGGCAGUAGAUUUUGGAGCAAUGUCUUAUAUAUUCUUGAUUUUCAGCUGAGGGUGUAUGUCCCAAUUUUUUUUGAAUUGGGGGGGGGGUGUUAAGGUAUGGGUUCAAUUAUAGGGGAUGCUUUCGAAGUUAGAUUAUGUAUAUAUGUUGUCAAAAUUUUAUCUUUAGCUUGAUUAUAAAAAAAAAUUAAAUUUAAUAUUUUUAACAUUAAAAAAUCUUGCUCAGGAGUUGGAAAUGUAACAAUAAUUUUGAAUAAAAGUAAAGCAUGCACCUUCACAAGCUUAUAUUCUUAGUGGCAAACUAAAACACUUGUCAAGACAAGGAGUUGGAAAUGUAACAAUAAUUUUGAAUGGCAACAACAACAGCUUCUAAAGGCAAUAACUUUACUAAAGAAUUGGUGCGACAAAGGCCUUAAUCGGUUCAAUAGCAGCAAGGAAUAACUGAAUAAGGACAACUUGACCAUCAAAAUAGCAGCAAAGUGAACUAUAAGGUAGCAAGUUGUCUUGGUUGAAAUGGGCAGCAAAUUACCAACAAAUGUCGUAGCAGUUAGUGUAGCAGCAAUUCAAUGUAGCAAUCGGCAGUAGCCAAUUGGAGAAGCAGGCUACUGAAGCAGAUAGCAGCAAUGAUUGAGCAAGCGAUGCAAGGUUGGCUUGCGGCUGGGAUUAUGUAAGUAAGGUACGGUUGAAGUAAAAGGGUUGAGAGUAUCGAUUGCAGGUAAAUAUCCAGAAUCCAAAAAUUAGCAGCAGUACAUAAAUAAAUGGGCAUGGGAUUUGAAACCCCAAAGUUAAAAGGUGCAAUGCAAUUCAAGAACUUGUACACAAUAAUUCUUAUAGCAUAAAUAAGACCAAUUAACAUUAAAAAGCAAACAAAACAAAACCCUAAAAUAUAUCUGCCAGAAAUAUCAAUAAAAAAAAAAAGAAAGAACAUGAUCAAAAAGAUAUAGAAAAUGCCAAAAUAAACUAAACACUUGCAAAUCAUUACCACUGAAAAGUUCUACUUGUUGAGAAUAAUUCAAAAUAACAUAUUAGUGGGAUAUUUAGAAAAUCUUGGUAGUAUCUUGGUAGUUUCAGAUUUUUUAGUUUGACCAAAUAAUUUGUUAGCUAUUUUUAUGUUAAGUUAGUUUCCAUGUAAGCCUAUAAAUAUAGGCAUUCAUUCUUUGUUUUUACUCAUUCAGAAUUCAUUAAUAGGAGAGCAACUUUUCUACAUAUUUUUUAUCUCUCUCACGUUUUAUUCUCCAACAAAUUUGGUAUCAGAGCCAGGUUGGAUCCUUUAGGCAAUUUAGUGAAAGUGAGGUUUGGGUCCAUUAGGGAUUUGAGAGAAACACUUAGUUUGGGGUCUUUGGGAAACAUGAGAGAAGAUUGAGUGAGUGUUUUUGGAAUGGCAUCAGCUAGUUUUUCUUCCUCUCAACCACUCAUACCCAUUUUUCAAUUGUGAGAAAUAUGAGUGGUGGAGCAUCAAGGUGAGGACAUUGCUCAGAUCGCAAGAGCUAUGGGACUUGGUGGAGUACAGGUUCAUUGACAUACUUGAACCUGAUGAAGAAGAAGAUAGGAGAUCUCUUUUCCCAUCAAAGAUUCUAUAGAUAAAAAAGAGGAGUCUGUACCAGCAACAUCUACAACACUUGAAGAAUCUUCUGACGAGUCAGUUCCACUAAGAAGAUCAACAAGGGUCAAAAAGCCGAAUCCAAAAUAUGCUGAUGACACUUAUACAUCCUGUCAAUUUGCUCUAGUCGUUUCAGAUCCUUUGUAUUAUGAAGAAGCUGCUGAUAAGGAAGAAUAGAAAAAGGAAAUGAUGGAGGAGAUACAAUCCAUCGAAAAGAAUGAAACUUGGGAGAUGGUCAACUUGCCGGAAGAUAAAAAUGCAAUUGGUUUGAAGUAGGUGUUCAAAACAAAAUUUGGUACAGAUGGAAGCAUCCAAAAGCACAAAGCUCGUUUUGUAGCGAAAGGUUAUGCACAGCAAUAUGGUAUUAAUUUCGAAGAAACUUUCUCUCCAGUAGCUUGGUUCGAAAUGGUGAGGCUUGUUCUAGCAAUGGCUGCACAAUUACAAUGGCAUGUUUACCAAUUUGAUGUCAAAUCAGCGUUCCUCAAUGGAGAUCUACAGGAGGAAGUUUAUAUAACACAACCAGAAGGUUUCAUAGAGGAGGGAAACGAAACAAAGGUUUACAAGCUGAAAAAGGCAUUGUACGGAUUGAAGCAGGCCCCUCGACCAUGGUACAACAAGAUCGAUGGGUAUUUUCAAAAGAAAGGGUACAUGAGAAGUGAGAAUGAGCCCACCUUGUACGUGAAAAAGGAAGGUAAAAAUGGUUUCAUUAUUGUUUGUCUUUACAUUGAUGAUAUCAUUUAUACUAGUUCCUCUAACUUACUUGUUGAUGAAUUUAAGUCUCAAAUGAUGAAUGAAUUUGAGAUGUCCGAUAUGGGUUUAUUGCAUUAUUUCCUCAGUCUUGAAAUUCAUCAAGCUGACGAUGGAAUUUUUAUCUCACAAUGGAAAUAUGCUAAGGAUCUUCUCAGUAAAUUUAGUAUGCUUAAUUGCAAGCCUGCAGCUACACCCAUGAAUAUCAAUAAAAAAUUGGAGCAAGAGGAUGGAGAAGAAAUGACAGAUGCAAGGAGGUUUAGAAACUUGGUUGGAGGUUUAAUCUAUUUGACUCACACUAGACCCGAUAUUGCAUUUUCUGUUGGUGUUAUUUCCAGGUUUAUGCAGCAACCUUCAAAGGUUCAUUAUGGAGCAGCAAAACGAGUCUUGCGAUACAUUGCUGGAACUUUGGAGUAUGGCAUUUGGUACUAAAAAACUUCAAAUUUCAAAUUGUGUGGGUUCACAGACAGUGAUUGAUCAAGUUCUCUAGAUGACAGAAGAAGUGUAUCAGCAUUUGUUUUUACUCUAGGUUUUGGGGUGAUCACUUGGAGUUCUAAGAAGCAAGCUACAACAACAUUGUCAACCUCAGAGGCUGAAUAUGUCGCAGCAACUGCAACAGCUUGUCAAGCCAUUAGGCUAAGGAGAAUGUUAACUGAUCUCCAACAAGAGCAGAAAUGUGCAACUACCAUAUUUUGUGACAACAAAUCCACGAUCUCCAUGACAAAGAAUCCAACAUUUCAUAGUAGAACAAAGCACAUAGAUAUUCAUUAUCAUUUCAUUCGUGAUUUGGUAGCAAAAGAGGAGAUAUCUUUGGAAUAUUGCAACACUGAAGAGCAGUUGCAGAAAUGUUAACAAAAGCAUUAUCAAAAGAGAAGAUUUGCUAUUUUAGAAGUUUACUUGGUGUCUGCAACUUUGAAUUAAGGGGGGUGUUGAGAAUAAUUCAAAAUAACAUAUUAGUGGGAUGUUUAGAAAAUCUUGGUAGUAUCUUGGUAGUUUCAGAUUUUUUAGUUUGACCAAAUAAUUUGUUAGCUAUUUUUAUGUUAAGUUAGUUUCCAUGUAAGCCUAUAAAUAUAGGCAUUUAUUCUUUAUUUUUACUCAUUCAGAAUUCAUUAAUAAGAGAGCAAAUUUCUUACAUAUUUUUUUAUCUCUCUCACGUUUUAUUCUCCAACACUACUAAUUACUAAACAUCAAAGUUAACGAUCAAUUUCUAGAACUAGAGAUUCAAUAAAGACCCAUUGAAGAAAUUGAAAAAAAAAAUGAAAGGGAAAUUAGAAGAAAGCAAACCUGGGUCUGAGUAUUGGUGUGGUGGAAGAGAAAUGGAUAGCAAAAAGGUGUGAAAAUGGUGGAUCUAAGUUUUCCCGAUCCGACUGAGAUUGUAAGGAAGAAAGAGAUAGGAUUUGUGUUAAGUGAAAGUCGAUUGCUGAGUGCUGAGAAAACGUUCGGUUCUUGGAGGAGAGAAAAUAAAUUGGGCUGGGUUUAAUUUAACCUUUUUGAGGCCCAUGGUAUUUACCCAGUAAAAUUCAGUUAAACCAAAAAAAUUCAGUUAAUCGAUUGGUUUCAAACCGAAUUAACCGUUAACCGAAAAAUCAAAAAAUCUUUCACCGACCCCCGACCCAAAAAAUUCGGUUAACCGACCGAUUAACCGAAUUCGGCCGGUUAACUAAAUUUUUUCGGUUUUAUCCUAAUUGUGCACACCCCUACUCAGGGGUAGUGGUUGGAGAUAAAAAUUUCAUGGUUAUAAGCUCAAAGAUAGUCAUGUGUGAGAACAUACCGUCAGUUUUUGCAGUGGAGGCGAUGACGUGUCUUCAGGUGAUUCAGUUAGGGCUAAAUCUCGGGUUGUCGGUGGUAGAAAUUAAAGAAUACGCUUGAUCGGUGAUAAGGAAACUACGGGCAGAGGGGAUAGAUAGAUUUGAGAUUGAGAUUUAUAUUAAAGAUUCAAAGUAGUUAUGUACAGGUUUUGACUCUUGUGCUUUUUUAUUUACCCACAGAGAAUCAAAUAAGGUUAUCCAUAUCCUAGCUAACGGGGACUAAAGAGAGGGGAGAAUAGUUAUCUGGUGAAUAGUAUUCCUCCUUAUGCUGCGGAAGAGGUGGAAACGAAUCGGCGAUUGACGGAUACCCUGAACAUAAGUUGAAGAAGAUGAAUCCCAAUGGAUGAAUUAGAAAUGAAGUGGCGUACUGAUGAAAAGUUUGAAGAUAAAAUUUUUAUAGCUUCCUAAGAAUAAAUUGUUGCUUUUCAAGAGUUGAGGCUGAUUAAUUGAAUAUAGCUAAGACAUCGGAAGUCUCUAAAGCUACCUCUCACUUUAACUGGAUCUGGGUUUUGUUUAAUUUUAAGAAUUUUGGGUCGUGUGUUUUAUUAUGUUUUGGAAUUUUAUUUUAGUUCGUUUGUAAGAGAUUCUUCUUUGAGCCUAAAUAGUUCUUAAAUAAAAUAUCUACGUAUUUUAUUUCAAAAUAUAAAAUUAAAAAAUUAGAAAUAUUUUCUUAUCAUUUGUAAUUAGAUCACAAAAAUGUGGUUGUCAUCCAACCUAACAAGAGUAUUUGUCAUUACAAAAUUCAAUUAAAAUGAAUAAAAAUUGAAAUACAAAAUUAAAUCAACAGAACUUAAGAGAAAUUUAAUGAAAAUUUUAGAACUAAAAUCUUGAGAGAAUUGGAUUUGAAUGAAAAAUGGAGAAAAUGGCUUAGGUUUACGUAGCAAUUAAACUAGUCAUUGGAGUUUUUGACCGUUGGGGAUGUUAUAGUUGGGGAAAACGUGUCCAGCGAGGCGCGCUUUCCUGCACAGUUUGCAAAACGCGUCCAGUGAGGUACGCUUUCUUGCACAAUCAGCAAAACGCUCCAAUAGGACACGUUUUCAUAUUCUCUCUCCAAAAUUGACAUAUUCCAAUAAAUAUGCCAUAAAUCAACCUAAACAACCAAUUUUUUCCAGCCUUUUUGGCUAAUUUAGUCAUGAGAUUGUUUGCGAUCAAACUCAAACUCUUAUACCUAUACCACAAUACUUUGUCACUAGGCUAAGAGGUUGUUGGCAUUCAUUUCUUUCCUUUUAUAUUAAUUUUAUGAUUAAAAUUUAUCUCAAAUUUAACUUGUUUUCAUGAUAUUCAGUGACAAUUCGUUGUUGUCCACCUUUAUAUAUUAAGUAUAUAAUUUAAAUUAAUCUCAAAUUUAACUUGCUUUCAUGAUAUUCAAUUUUUAAAGUAGUAGUUCUCUGCAUCUGUUAUAAUAGACGUUGAUAAUGGUAAUAGAACGAUCGCAAAGUAAUAAGAAAAUGAAAAAUAAAACACACAGAUUUUACGUAGAAACCUUUUCGGGAAAAAAUCACAGGCAUAGGAGAAGAAAUUUACUAAUGUUGAAAAUUAAAUGAUACAAGAGGAGUUUCGACUACAUCCAUUUAAAGGUUGAAAAACCCUAUUCUAAUAAAUGUAAAAUAGAAGUAGUGUAGUUCUAUACGGAUUCUAGGAGUUUGACAUGUUUUGAAAAUGCUUUUUUUUUAUCUAUUUUACAUCCUCUAAAAUCUGCAUUGAAGUAAGCAUGCAAACUAAAGGAAGAGUCCUCACAAUACCAAAGUCUUAAGUUUGGUGUAACCUUAAGGCACCUAAAGAUUCUCUUAAUGACUUGUAAAUGUGAAUUUCUAGGAGGUUAUUUAAAUCUAGAGCAUAGACAAACACUAAAUAUAAUAUCAGGUUAAUCAGAGGUAAGAUAUAGUAAUGAACCAACCAUAGACCUAUAUAGUUUUGUGUCAACUCACUUUUCUCCUUCAUCCUUAUCAAGAAGUGCUUAUUAUAGUGAAUUGAGGCUUCAAGACCUCUAUUUUGAAUUGCUUAAGCAUCUCCUCUAUUUACUUGGCUUGAUUGAUGAAGAUGUCAUCUUUUGUUUGCUUGAUCUAGAGCCUCAAAAAGAAGUUGAGUUCCCCCAUCAUUCUCAUAUCAAAUUUACCUUGCAUAGUCUUAGAAAAUUCUUGGCAAAACAAUUCUUUAGUAGUACCAAAAAUAAUAUCAUUGUUGAGUAUGGCUCUUAUUUCAGUCAAAUUUGAGAAAUAAUCUUCCAGUUAAACUCUGUUUAUUUGUUUCAAUUUAACUCUACUUAUUUGUUUCAAUUAAACUCCGCUUAUUUAUUUCAAUCAAACUCUAAUUAGUCUAGAUUAUUUUAUUACUAUUUGACUUAUGAAUUUAGCCUAUAAAUAGACUCUUUUACAACCUUAGAAAAAACACUCAUUAGUGAUUAAACUAACACUUUUAGAGAAUUUUAUGUUUACGUUUUGAGGGUUUUUUAUUUUCGGGUUUUCGGUGUUUAGUUUUUAUCUCCAUCUUUUGUACUCUUCGUUCUUUUUCCAUUAUAGUAAAAUUAUCUUUGCCCAUGGUUUUUAUCCUCUUUGGAGGGAUUUUUCCACGUUAAAUUUGUGUGUUCAAUUUCUCAAUUUCUUCCACUAUUUUUACUUGUUCAUUGCUUAAUCGAGUCGAUCCCCAACAAGUGGUAUCAGAGCUAGUUCAAUUUUCGUAGGUCAUUUCGUUCAGAGAUGGUAGCAACAAGGUUUGAAAUUGAGAAGUUUGAUGGUGUCACAAAUUUCAAUCUGUGGCAAGUUUGGAUGAUGGCAAUUCUAGUUCAAACUGGCUAGAAAAAGGUUGUUACCGGGAAAAAGCCUUAGAAUCUAAAUCAAAUAGAAUAGAAAGGACUUGAUGAAAAGGCCUUGUCUACAAUCCAAUUGAGUCACGAAUACUAUAUUGCAGGAGGUAUUGAUGGAGAAGACAUCAUCCGCCUUAUGGAAAAUGUUAAAAACUCUUUACGCGACUAAGUCUCUGGCUAACCAUUUUGUGUUGAAACAAAGUCUAUUCACGUUUCGCAUAAAAGAAGGUGAGCUUCUUAGAGAUCACAUCAGUCAGUCCAUUACUCUUUUAAAUGAUUUAAAGAACGUUGAGGUUCAGAUUGACGAUGAAGAUCAAACUAUACUAUUAUUGUGUUGUUUACACCAUUAUCAAAACACCAUUAUCAAGCCACUAAAAAUUUUUGUGAUAAAUUCUAAUGUGCAAAACAUAUGAAAUUAAAAUAUCUUAUCGUUAAAGAAGAAGUUCAGAAACAAUAAGUGUCUAUAAAGCACUUUAGAAUUGGUCUUAUAAUUUCAAAUCUAUUAACUAAAGUCUUACAACCAAAAACAUUUAAAGAACUUGCAUAUAGAAUGGGUCUUGAAAGCAUUGAUGAACGAUAUUUUAUGAUAAUGUAACACUUUGAGCUCAUUUAUUAUGUUUCUGAUAUAAAAUUUGCAUAUUUCCUGUUUAUCAUGAUAUGUGCAUAUAAAAUUUAAUAUUUCUUAUUUAUCGUGACGUAUUUAUUAUUUAUCAUGUUCGUUUAAUUAAAACUCAAUUUGUUUAUUAAUUCAAACCUAAUUUAUAUACUCCAUUCAUUUAAAACUCCAUUUGUUUAUUAACAAACAUAUUUGCACAUCAUAAACAACAUAUUAACCAACAAUCAACGAAGAUGUUGGUGAACAUAUUUUAGGCUUAAUUUUGUUAUGAUAGCUAACAUUUCAUAAAUUUUACUUUUGUUAUUUUUAAAAUAUUUUAGUUAUCUUUUAUUUUAUUUUUAUUUUCUAACGAUCUUUCAAUAAGAUGCUUUGGUAGUGAAAAUAAAGAGUUAAAAAACAAAAAAAAUGAAAAUGAAGGAGAUAUAUUUUGAAGUAUCUAUAGUAAAAAUAUCAACCUUGAACAUACAUGUCUAUAAAUGAACAAAUCAAAUAUACCUAUAUAUACCUAUACCAACUAUUCACAAAGUAAUUCGUCACUAAUAAUAGAAAAUUUUCCAAAACCACUGGUCGUAGUUAGGAAUGAAUAAUGAAUAACGAAUAUCACCGACUUUGUUUCUCAAAUGUCCAAAAUACAAAUGAAGACAAAAUUCCAACAGGCAGGCUGCUGAUUGCCGACUGAGUAAGCCAAUGUAUAUAACAUUCUAUACAGACUAAAUCUACAUUCCUGUACAUUUAGAAUGUGAGAUUAAAUCAAAAUUUCCUAAAACCCAACAAAACAAAAACAUUCAUAUAUAUAUAUAUAUAUAUAUAUAUAUACCACUGCUUACUAGUAAUUUGGUAUAGUAGUGAAUGUCACAGGCAAAGCCAAUGGUGCUGGUUGACUACAUCGUUCUUCAUUUUCUAAGCUUCCAUGGAUGUAAUUGAGACAACGGCAGACUUCCUUCACAGAAAUAGAAACCGCAACUUCCUAUGCAACUUUAAUAUGUUUCUUUCCAUGAAGAUCCACCACAAGAUCCCGCAGCUCAGGGAAAACUGAUAUGAUUACAAGUUCUAAUAUCGCGUAAGCAAGUUGCUUCACGCAUAUAGUUGACUGCAUUCAUAAUGACAAAGUCAAUACAACCAGAAAGUGAAGAAAUUAGGAAAAAACAUCAACGUCAUGUUAGAAAAUAGCAACUCAACCUGAGUGAAAAAAUAUAUGUCUCUUGCACAUCGUCUGUAUUGCUUGUGCCCGAUUAAGCUAACUAAGGCCGUCGGAGCGCCAUCUGACAAAAAUAUUAAUCAUUUAGUGGUUUUCACCAUUAAUCAAGUUCUAGCUCCAGGGAAAACAUAUAUGAAACAUGCUCAACAAAUUUCACAAUAUAAAAAUAAUCUCAAAAAACAUGUUAUGGACCACGGUAACCUAGACCCAAAAGGACUUCAGAAAUUGUCAUUAGAAAUAUAAUCAUUCAACUCUGGACCAAGGAAUUCGAUCAUUCGAAGCAAUGCUCAUAUGAGAAUUGCAAGCAUGUGAACCACAGAUCCAAAAGUCAUGGCAGGUCACCACUAUGAUCUGACAAAAACAAAGAAAAAAGUCUCACCGAAAAGCAUCUUUUUAAUGCUGCUUGCUCUACGAGCUGCCUCAAGUUGUUCCUCAAAGGACCCUGGUUUAUUGACAUUACCCCCACCAAAUUGGCUGAAGUUCUGCGAAGGUGUCUGGUUAGGCUGAGUAUUCUCGAAUUUUCCCUGAAUAUUCCCUGCUUUUGUAAAGAAUGUACCACCUGGCCACAGAAUCUGGGGAAAAAGAGGUUAUUAAAAGAAAAGAAUACAUGUGCAUGGCUCUUCAAGACACUUUUUACUAGGUUAACUACUGAGAAACAAAUUAAUCAUUGUUCUCAAGAUUGGGCUACUGCUGACAGCUAAGCCUCAGCCUGUGAAGUUCUCAUUGAGAGACCAAAGUAGCCCAACCAAUCAGUAUACAUAGGGCUUUAAGAAACAGAGCCAUCUAAAAGUUCAUAUGCAAGUAGAAGCAGCUCUUAAUGACAAAACUCGUGCUUUUACAGCAUCAAAUGCUGAACCAUAUAACACUCAAAGUUAAACUGUCUCAAAUUUGUUCAACUCUUACAUCUUGAAUCCAUCGAAUCCCUAGUGCAAUAGUGUCCUCCCUCCGAAGCCAAUAAAUCUGCCUCAAAAGCCAGUCAUCGAUGGCAUCCUCCAUCACCAGCUGUAAUAUUUGCUUAGAUAUCCAGAAGACCUGUCUUCUGCAUCAAUGAAAAAAUGCACAUGUUUAAAAUGCACAUGUUUAUGCCAAAUUAUUCUGAAAUUAGGUAAAUUUAUAACAUCAUAGCACGCAAUUAAAGUUAAACAGGACCACAUGGUCUGAAAGACUAGACAGUUGCCACUGGCUAAAAGGAAACCAGGAAAAAGGCUUGAAGUAUAACUAAACAAUGGCAGCAGACUAAUGCCUCUAAACCCAUGCAAAGUUAGUGUUUUAUCAUGCAGCCUGUUUCAGAACAGACAAAGUAGCUAUGAGACGCAAGACUAACUUCUCAUAAAAGAUAGAACAGAAAACACAAGAUGUAGUAAUUGUUAGUUCUGAGAUGGGUAAUCAGCUCACCACAUCAACCAAUCCUAUGCUAGGAAAACAAACAUUAGAAACACCAAAGUCCAGGUACAAUAUUAUUUUUAGGUUGAUCUUUAUAAUUACCAAAUGGUAGAAUACGGCAUUUUAGCAAUUAAUUAAUCCACAAUUAUGGAAAUGAGGAAAAAUUAGCUCACCUUAGCCAGCCUCUCCUCUUAAGCUGAAACACAUUAUCAACUAGAUUCAGCAACGGAACGCUCAUGUUAGGAGGUGCCCACUGCAAAAAAAUCAAUUGUGAACAUUCAAAUAUUACAAGUGAAAGAAAAAAAAAAGAAAAGAGAUCUUCAAAAAUGGUGUAAGCUUAAAUAAGCUGAAACUAUUCAACCAAAAGAUCACUAACAAAAGCAAAGGGCCACAGCCAGAUAGACACCAAAUGAAAGGUUGCGGUAGCUAGAGAAUAGGUGCAACCAACAAAGAAACUUAUUUUCCUUGUAAUGAUACUCACUUUUGGUUGAGAUUCUUAUGAAUGCAAUCCAAAAUUUUAUUGACCAAGUAGCAAAAGUUCUCAGUUUAGAAGAGUAUUCUCACAAGAAAACAAUUGAGAUAAAGAAUGAUACCUCCGGGGGCAUUCCAACUGGAUCCUCCAUAUGGCUUGAGGUUGUGGGGAAUUUUAUUGCAGGAGAACCUUGCUGACCAAGCAAUUCAGUUUUAACACCUAAAUUAUGUUUCUCAGAGACUAAAUUACCAGACUCUCCACCAUGCUCUAUCACCCUUGGAGGCAAACUUGUGUUCGACUCAAAGUCUGGAUGCCAACCAUGGCCUUGGGAACCAGAUCUAUCAUCCUCAUGACCAUGGCUACUAUCUUUAUCACCUUCUUCGUUAUCAGAAGCGCUAUGCACUGUCUCCAAGUUACUUUGCCUUGAAAUGUCUUUAGCAAUCUCAUCAGCACUCCAUGACAAGGUCCUGCCAGUGACUGAAGAAGAGGCUUCACUAGGGGGAGAAGACGAAUCAACAGCUUUGCACAUUACGCCAUCUGAUACUCCUCUAAAUUGGCGUACAAUAUCAUCAGCAGCAUCGUCCACAUUGACUGUUCAUACACAAGAGAAUCAGAAAUGGUCAGGAAAUAAUCUGAAUAAAAAGAGUUAUUGUAUGCAAGAACAACAUGAUAACCAGAAACAGAAAUAACAUACCUGCAAGGGUUCUCAUCACUGAUGAAGAUUUUCCAAAAGAGUAAUUCUUCAAUACCAAAUGACAACCACAAAUAGAAUGAGAUGUCAUUCAUCCGUAAAAAAACACACUAGCACCCAAUUUGAUGCGAACAAGAUACAUACCUUUGAGGAAACACUUAAAAAGUCCCACACUUCAUGUUGUUCAGCCACAUUAGCUAUAGACAACAGAUCCUGCGAAAAGGCAACUUAAUUGAAGCUCAGGUUUAAAAGCAAACAUCCUACAAUAAAGAAAGGUCAGGAAGUAAAUUACUUCUAGAUACUUGUCAAGCUGAAUGCAACGCUGGUGAACAAAAGUGUCCUCGGUGCUUGACGAAAAUAUCCUUUUGGGAGGCAAGUGUAAUGUAUAAUUAGGAAUUUCUUUAAGAUGUCGAUGCAACCGUUCAAAGUUCCUGUAUCUGCGGAUUAAAAAAAAAAAGUCAAAUGAACAAUUAGAGAAGAAAAUAAAACAAGUUACCAGAACUUUCAAUUGCUCUCUUGUGAUGACUACGUUCUGGCUUAAAACUAUAAAGACUUUAAAAUAUCUAAGGGAAUUAACUAACUAAAGGCCCUUAAACAAAUGACUUUUUCAUUUAACACACACAUAUAUGUAUAAGAAGUUGGGUGAGAAAAAACCUUCUUUUAACAAACCAAGUUCUAUUUUCAGCAUCUGUCACAGCGAUUGAAUAAACUGCAAAUGAUUUUGAUCCAAGUUUUUCAACAUAUGCUCCAAUAACCUGCAGAGAUAGACAGGCAUAGCAAAUAUGAUUACAGAUCAUAGAAUGUCUAUGACUGCCAAGCAUAAGAAGCUGUUUUCAUUUAUAUCCCACAUCAAAUAUGGAUUCAGCAGGCAGUUCAAAUUUCAAAUUCACAAAACUCGCAACAAUAUACACAGGCAUGCUCACCCGGCACCUAAGCUUCGGAACAUGUGGCUCCUCAUUGCGAAGUACUGUAUUUGAGGUAAUCUUACCCCUAUAUUCUUCAGUAUGCCUGCCAAAAUCAGGGCUGUAGAACUCUGAAAUAAUCGGCUCUCGAAUAUCUCCUGUAAAUACCUUCUUAGUAUCAGGUUCAACAUUCAAAUCGGAGCUACUACUGGAUCUCUUAAGCCUACUUUUAUUUCCAUCAGCAGAUUGCUCACUAGCAUCAUUAAAAUUGUUAACAUGAUGAUCUCCUCCAAAUGACGAUAAGUUGUUGAAUUCUGGGGCCAACUGUGUGCCUGCUGUGUUACCAUCAAAUAAUUGAGCAUCAAGAUUUAAACCGGGCAUUGUCUGCAUCACAGUUUUCUCUUCACUUCCCGUAGAAGUUCCAACAUUGUUGGUAGAGAUUUCACUUCCUGGAUACCCUGUCAACACAGCACUCUUUGUCACAGAACCCCUAGGAAUAGCUUCUUGAAAUCUUGUGUUUACAUAUUUUUUCUCCUUCUUUUUGUAGUUUCUUCCUUUUGUCCACAUGUUUUCAAGAUUUUCAGGGGCAAGAACUUCAGUUCUUCUCUGGGUUGCUGCCUCUAAUUUUCGAGCCCAGUCAGCUGGUCGAGGCUGCACUGAUUCUUCCUCGCAUCUGUUAGAAUCUGAAUAUGUUUCUUUCUGAUCAUCAAGUCUAGCCAAUGUCAAAUCAGUUCCCUGACUAUUAAAGGACGCAAUUUUGCAUGAGGAGGAGACAUCACCACGGACUUCAACUGAAGACUGAUCAAAACCUUCCACCACCUUAAUCAUACCAUCAUUAAUGGCAAGUAGAACAUAUUCAAUUACUUCAUUGAUACACCUGACAACAAAACAUAAUUGGAAAGAAAAAAGAAUAAAGCAUUUCUUAAUGCAAGCACCAAAUCUUAUACCAACGGAAAAUGGACAAUCAUGAAUAACCUUUUAAUUUUAAACACACUCCCUUCUUUUACCUACAGGGAGCAAGAGCAAGAUUCUAACCAAGAAACCACUGUAGUUCCAUAAUGUCAUUCAACGUAGGAUGGUCUGUAUUCUAAUUGUUCCACUCUUUCUAAAAAUCAAAUAAACACUAAAUAAGAAUACAUGUCGAAAGAAACUGUCAAUAUUCUUAACCUAAAAGUUUAGGCUAACUUGCUAAACAGAACUAUAGUUUUAACUGAAGUAUUAACUACAUUCUUCGCUACCUUAAACUUAAACAAACAACAAACCAUUGCUCAAUAACCUACCCAGGGUUUGCCAAAUUCAAAAGAGGUUGCACAACCAAGCAAGUAACAAUCUCACGAGCAAUAGUUCGAACCAAAGGACAUUGAGCUUCUCGUGGUCUUAAUACUACUGCUAAAACUCCACCAAUAAGCCGUUGAAUAACCUGAAAAAUGAAAGUGUAAGGAUAUAAAACAAAAGCAAACCGCAAAAUGCAAAGGCAAAUUAUGUUUUCAUCGGAACACUCCACUCACACCUUGUACUCACUCUCUGGUGAAAUCAGUGCAGGAUGAAGCUCUUCAGAAACCAUAAGAUGGUGUUUCAGUCUUUCAUCCCUUUCUUCAGAUGACAAUGUUACCAUAACAUCAACACCUAUUGCAGCUUGGUUUCUUCUAAAAAGGUCCAAGUGAUCUCCGAUCAAAUCAACUAUAUCCCUGAAAAAUUAGACAACUGUUUGAAAUCUUUGAGCUUUAAAACCUUUUGAACAUAUUUACAAUUUGACAAUCCUUCUCUUACUAAAACCCUACCGAGUUAGCAAAUCAACAAGGUUUAUCUCUUUCGCCCUUCCUGAUAUUUCACCAAUAGCAUCCAAAAUUACAUCUCGCAUCAACUCAGGUGCCUCUCUAUCUGGAGUAAUCUCCGAAUACCACAAAUCAACAACAAAAUCCCUGAGUAUUUUAUCAAUAAGCUCAUUGAGAGCAGCCUCCACCAUAGGAGAAUCAAUUUUCCGCUUCCACUUGAGCGGAGGUGAUGAGCUGGAAACACGGGAGUCAUUCACGGACAACUGUUUCUUCUCCAAGUGAGACAAAUAACUCAGAACACGAACUGAUUUAACCUUCCAUUUGAACUCAACCUCAUUACUCAAAAUUCGUAAUCCAGCAACAAUAAGAAUUGCUAUAGGUAAAUUCAUCCACAUCGAUGUACUUGUAUCUACAUCCAUUAACAAAAGCAGAAAACACAGGGAAAAAAACUCGUAAAAGUUCAAAAAUCACUUACGAUCAAUUCCUAAUAGCAAAAAUUAAACCACACUAACGUAAGAUACUAAUAUAAAACCCUAGAUGAAUCAAUUAAUAGAAACUGAAAAUCCAGAGUUAAAUUUGAUUCCAAUUAAACGGGAAUUGUCCAUAAAGCUUCAAGAAGAAACAAUUCUAGGAAAAUAAAGCAUCCAUGCGAAGUAAAAAUAAAGCAUUCGCCACAACAAACAAUUUAAACAACAAAUUCAAAUAGCUAAAAAGAAAAAAACUAACAUGGAGCAAAUAAUUAUUCUUGGAAUCAUAUUAAUUAACUUACGAGUCAAGAAGUAAGUUACGACAAAGGUAGCCAACGCCCACCAGACCGUCCGUACUUUGGCAUCUUCGAUCAGAUCCUGUAUCGUCUCCAUCGAUUUCAUUUUCCCGUUUUUCUUUCGAUCUUUUUUUUUUCUCCCUCCAAUUUUUCUUUCCAAUUCGCGGAAUUCGAUUCCUUGAUUUUCAAGAAUUUUCAAUUCUUUCUUAACAUGGAGAAAAAUAAAUAAUCACCGGAAAAUAAUUUGAAUUUUUUUUCUUCGAUUAGCUUCAGCAGGGUUUAAUAUGGAAUUAGUCACGAACCAAAAAGAAAGAAAAUAAUAACAGAGAAGAAAAUUAGAGCAUCUGGAAUUUGUUUCUAACUAAAUAAAUUUGAAAAUGAAUAGGGAGAAUACAACCAGCUAUGAAUAGUAGGGUUAUAUAGGGUUAAUAUACCAUUUGAGGCUUAAGUUUGGCUUAAAUGUUCAAUUUAGUAUUUAAAUUUUUUUCUCAAUUUAGUACUUAAGCUUUCCUUUGAUGUUCAAUUUAGUACCUAAAUCAAAAGUCAUCAUGUGGCCCAAUGAAUUAUUAACAUGUGUGCUCUAAUAAAAUACAUACGUACCUUAAUUGGAAGAGAAAAAAAUUCAAAUUCUAAAUUAAAUAUUAAAAUCAAACUUAAGUACCAAAGUAAACAUUAAAACCAAAAUCAAAUACAUACGACAAAAAAAAACACUUCAGUACAAUAAUAAAUCUUAAAAUCAAACAUAAAUAUCAAAUAAUAUAUUAAUGCAUGGUAAUACUUCUCUCGAAUAUCAAUUAGCCUCUAACCAAAUAAUAAAUUUGGAGGUUUUCUUUCCUUUCAUUUCGAUAUUUAUUUUUUCUGUAAAAUUUGCUUUCAAUCCUUCUAUUAUACAUAAAUUUAUAAUUUAAUAUUUAUACGUUAAUUUAACAUAAUUUAGUUUAUUAUUAUAAUGUUAUUAGUUAGUGUUGACACCAUUUUUUAAAAAAAAACGGAGUCGAUUUGGAUUUGAAAAUGAAAAAGAAAAUGUUUGGCUCACCUCGAAAAGUGAUUGUUUUUAAUAAAUGAUUUGAUUUUAUUAAAACAACGAUUUUGGUCCACGAAAUUCAGAAAAACGGGUUCGGGAGUCAGUUACGCACGAGGAAGGAUUAGCACCCUCGAUACGCCCAAAAUUGGUACCUAGUUGGCUACUUAAUGUCUUAAUGUCGAAAAUUGAAAACUUUGAAGAGAUUUAAAAUACGAUCCUUUAUUGAAAAGUUGAAAAUACAAUGUCUUAAAUUUCCGAUGCGCGAAUAAAUGCCGAAAAUUUACUUAUUUAAAAAAUAUUUAGCUAUCUCGGAUUUAAAAAAUGGAUCAUGCCUAGUAAGUUAGGACACGAUCUUUUCUUAAUUCCCGAGAUCAUUUAAAACUUGAGAAAAAAAAGGAUCAUGCCCAGUAAGUUAGGACACGAUCUCUCUUCUUAAUUCCCAAGAUCGUUUAAAACUUGAGUUUGAAAAGAUUCGUGUAUUUAGAUUUAUUGUGAAAAUCGAAACCCAGUAAGUUAGGGUACGACCUUCUCAAAUCUAAACACGAGAUUUUGCUUACUCAAAAUCAUAAUUUAUGCAUUGAAUAAAAUUAAUCUAACACGAAAUAGUAGAAAUAAAACACGAUGUCAAUAUGCGUAAUAAAACAAUAAUAAACACGAUGAUGUAAAAAUAAUACGAGCAAUAGCAACAAAAAUAAAUAAAAUAAAUAAAUAAAAGGGAUAAAUCAAUAACAUACAAAAUGACAAGUAUAUAAGCAAAUAAAAUUAAAGCAUUCUUUCAUAAUAAUGAUGAAAAUGUAAAUAAAUAAAUAAAUAAAAUGAAUAAAGUUAUAAAAAUGUAAAAAGAUACAUGUAUAUACAUAUAUAUAUAAAUUAUAAAAUAUAAUAAAUAUAUAUAUACAAGUAUGUAUAUAUAUAAAUUAUAAAGUAUAAAAAUAAGUAAGUAUAUAUAUACCAAAGAUGUGUACAUAUAUAUAUGAUUAAAUCUAAAAUUAAAUGGCAUAAGUGAGUAAAUAAUAAUAAUAAUAAUAAUAAUAAUAAUAAUAAUAAUAAUAAUAAUAAUAAUAAUAAUACAAGGUUAAAAGAUAUUUAAACAGAUAAAUAAAUAGAAUAGAAAUAUAAUAACAAUAAUAAUAUAAAAAUAACAGCAUAAUAUAAUAGUGAUGAAUAAGUAAAUUGAAUUAAUUAAUAAAAUAACAAAAUAACAAAAAAGGACUAAUUUGAAUUUUAAGACAAAGAUUCGGGGUAAAAUCAAAAUAAAAUGAAAGGGAGGGACCAAUCUGAACACGCGCAUAACAUGGGGCACUGAAAAGGUAAUUUUACCUUCCCCAAAACGACAUCGUUUCAGCAAGGACCAAACUGAAUUCGUAGAAAAAUCACGGGGUAAGAUUUAAAAAAUAAAAAUCUUUGAUUGGAAAACAUUGAAAAAGUGGAAGGACUAAAAGUACAAUUAGCCCUUCCAUUGAAAACACGCGGAUCCCCCUGGAGCGGGUCGGGUCGCAUGCGGGUCGGCCUUAAACGACGCCGUUUUGGCACUAAAAGAUCCUGAAUGAAACGGUACCAUUUUGUAGCAGUAUAAAAACUAAAAUUUUUCAAAAAAAAAAAUACUCAUUUUUCUUUAUUCGAAAAAAAAAUGCCCUCAUUCUCUCUCGGCCCCUCUCUCUUUUUGCCCAUACUCCGACCUACGGCUCCGGCGCACCUCCGCCGUAGGCGGCAACCGGAGGUGCAAGAUUGGACCUUUUUUGGUCUCUUUUGAAGCCGACCGUCCUUAGAAGUAGGAUUUAGGGCCAAAUCUCUAGAUAGAUGGGUCGAACUCAGAAAAACAGGAAGAAACCGUUCGCCUUUCUUCUCUGGCACGACGCAGGUGAGAUUUUUUUUCUUUUUUGUUUUUUUUGGUUAUUUGGUAUAACAAAGAUAAAUAAAAAUAAAAAUAAAAAUAAAGCAAAAAAAUAAAGAGAGACUCGAAUGCAAAAAAAAACCACCUCUAUUUAUGUAUUCUGUUUUUUGAUUUUUUUCAAUCGCUUUUCCUACAAUAUUUGUCCCCCUUUCUCCGAUUCAUGUUUGGCUUUUAUAUAGCCAAAGAGAAAAAUAAAAAAGAAAAAUAUAACUAUAAAAAAGCUACUUCCUAUAUUGCUUUCUUCUCUUUUCUGUCUCUGUUUCCUCUUUUGCUGCUUUGGUUUGUCAUUUCUCGCAGGUUCGGCCAGCUGGAGGUGUUGACGAGGGCGGAGUUCGCGAUUUUUUCCAUUUUGGUGCAAGGCUGCCAUGCUUCGGGCGGUGUGCGCGCCGAGGGCGCACAUGGGGUAGGCUGCGGCGCGAGGGAAAGCAUUAGGGUUUAGGUUUUCUUUUCUGAAAACUUUAGGUUGUGGGCUUAAGGUUUUCAUGUGGGCCUUUUGGUCCAUUGUAUUUUUUUGGGCUAGUUAUUUUGUAAUCUGGACUGUUCUAUUUCGGGCCUGGGCAUAAAUGGGUCAUCACAGUUAGUUCAAAUAAUUUAUAUCGUUAACUAUUGUUACAUUUUUUUACUUUUUAAUGCAAUACUUAAACUGUCCAUGACCCUAAUCCCUAACUAAAAAGAUUAUACAUAAACCUACGUCCUUCAAGUUGUUGCAACAUCAAUGAUUUUAAUAAAGUUCAGACUUAAUCGACAAUUAUUUUUAACUAUUUGACUAAUUAAUAACAUUAUCAAAAUAAAAUAAAAUAUUAUAUUAUAUUAUAUUAUAUUAUAUAUAGAGACUAAAUUCUAAAUUUAAGUAUAAUAAAAAGAGGAGGAAAAAUUUUAACCUUGUUUUCAAUGAAAACAUGCAUAAUGACUUAUUUGACCCUCUAAUUUUUGGGAAAAAAGUCAUUUUAACCCUCAUUUAAUUUUUCAUCUCUUUUAACCCAUAAACUACCGUUUUUUUGUCAAAACAACCCAAAAUGGAGGGAAAAAUUAGCAAACAUUAACUUUGCUAACAUGGCAUGUACAUGACCAUCUAUGUGUGUGUUAUGUCAAUAAUUAAAUAUUUUUUAAUUCAAAAAAAUAUAAUAUUUUAAAAUUAUCAUGGAAGAAUUUUAUAAUUUUUCAUAUUUUCUAAAAUUUUAAAAUAUUUUUUGAAUUUUAUAAAACUUUAAAAAUAUUAUAUAAUUUUAGGAAAUUAAAAAAAUAUAAAUAAUUGUUGAAAUGGCAUGACACUAGAAAAUAUCAAAUUCUAUGUUUUUAAAUUCUGUCGACAUGAUUAUUCUUAUCUUGACAGGAACCCAAAACUUAUCCAAUUAAUUUAAGUGAUUUAAAUUAGUAAUUUCAACUUGUUUAAUUUAAAUUUUAAAAUAAUUUAAACUUAAAUUAAUUUUACCUCAAGAUAAUUAAAUUUGAAUGAUUUUAACCUAAAAUUAUUACAAAUUUAAAAAUCGAAAUGAUAUAAAAUAAUUUAUACCUAGAUCCAAUUGAAAUUAUAUUUUUAAACUUAACUAGAAACUAUAACAUCUAACUAAAGGUUUGAAUAUUGUAUAAUAAAUCUAAAUCAUAAAAAUAAAGAACAAUAAAAUGUAUCAUAAAAUCGAGAGUUAUAACAUAUUAUAACAUGUAAAAAGAAUAUUUGAUGUAACGUCAGUAUGUAUAUUUUAUAUACAAUUAAUUAAUAAUAAAAGAUGGUCAAGAGUAUUCACUGUCCUAAAUGUGGCUUGGGUUCGAGUUGCGUUAGUUGCAUUGGUAGUUUGCGUUUUGUCCUAUUAUUAUAAUUCACAAAAAAAUAACAUAUUACAAAAAAGAUUAAGACUUUAAAAAUAUCAAAGUUAUCAAUGUUAACAAGUAGAAAGCAAUUGGUUAAAAUAUGCUAUCGGUUUUUACUCUUAAUAAAUUUGAAAUUUAGUUAUUAUACUUUUCGAACUUUUAAAUUUAGAUCUAUUUGUUAACACUAUACAAAUAUUUUUUAUUAAAUUUAUUGGUGUAAUAUUUUAAAAUAAAAAAAUAUUUGUUCGGUUGCUAUGUAUCCAAUAAAAAUAAUGUUCAACAAAAUAAUUCUAACCGUAUAAAUACCUGAAUUUUGAAAUCUAAAAAGUAGGGGUACUAAAGUUCUAGAAAUAAAAGUGCAAGAAUUAAAUUCUAAAUUUAUGAAAAAAUGUAAAAACUUAUGACAUAUUUUAACCAAAAUAAUUAUAUUCACCAAAUACUAAGCAUGAUUCAAUUAUCAUUUGAAAAUAAAUUACAUUUAAUAUAUUAGUUUAAUUGAAGUAAAAAAAGUAUUAAUCUUAAUUAGUAUAAUUAUCAAUGCUAAAAAAUUGAACAAAUUAAUAAUAUAAUAUAAAAAUAGAAUGACCAAAUUAUACUAAAUUGAAGUUUAGAAACUAAAUAUAGAAUUUUAAAAAAAGUAGAAGGACCAAAAUCAGAAUUUUACCUAUUAUAAACAAAGGGUAGAAGUACAAUUCAAUCUCGGUCAAGUGGUGGUUGCAUUUAUAUCUAUAUAUAUGCAAUACGUUUCACCUGUAAAAUUACCGGAACUCCUAAUUAUAUGUGAACCAGCACUCUUUUCGGUAACUGAAACAAGAACCCAACAUCCCAUUCGUCCUCUAUAUAAACUCUGUCUUACAUCUCCAUCAACAACAUUGUCUAAGCAGCCUUGGGCCUUCCAAGGUGAAUAAAUAAAAUGGCAAGUCGUCAAAGUUUUCAGGCCUUCGGCUGCUUAACUUUUUUCUCUUGCAUUCUAUUUUGCUCAUACGCACCCACUUUCGCAUUAACUGACGUCGAACAAUCUUACAUCACUCGUCGUCAACUAUUGGCACUCCGUGAGAAUGGUAAACUCCCCGAUGGGUAUGAAUAUACUGUGAAAACGACAGAGAAAUUCGAGAAUGAAAGGCUUAGGAGGGCUUUCAUUGCUCUUCAAGCAUGGAAGAAGGCUAUGUACUCUGACCCCAAGAACAUCACGAGCAACUGGUUUGGGCCCAACGUGUGUGAUUACAAAGGUGUUUAUUGUGUCCGAGCAAUGGAUGACCCCAAAUUAAAAGUUGUGGCUGGUAUUGAUCUUAACCAUGCUGACAUCGCCGGUUACCUUCCGGUGGAGUUGGGGUUGCUGACCGAUGUUGCAUUGAUACAUUUAAACUCUAAUAGGUUUUGUGGGAUCAUCCCCGAGAGCUUAUCCGAGCUUACACUUAUGCAUGAAUUUGAUGUUAGCAACAACCGGUUCGUGGGGGAUUUCCCUAAAGUUGUACUGUCAUGGCCGAGCGUGAAGUUUAUUGAUCUCCGGUUCAAUAAUUUUGAAGGUUGUUUACCACCUGAGCUCUUCAAAAAGGAUCUGGAUGCAUUGUUUCUGAACGAUAAUCGCUUCACUUGCAACAUCCCUGAAACAAUCGGCAAAUCGACUGUCUCCGUUGUGACAUUCGCCAACAACAAGUUCAAAGGAUGUAUUCCACGUAGCAUUGGAAAGAUGUCGAACUUGGACGAGAUCAUUUUCUCAAACAAUAACCUCGGUGGUUGUUUCCCUCAAGAAAUUGGAUUGCUUCGAAAUGUUACUAUUUUCGAUGUUAGCAAGAACUCGUUCGUGGGUAGCUUGCCCGCAAACUUUUCGGGAUUCGAGAAGGUUGACGUUUUGGAUAUUUCCGGGAACAAGUUGACGGGGAGUGUGCCGGAGGAUAUUUGCAAGUUGCCGAGCUUGUCUAGUUUCAAGUUUUCUUACAACUAUUUCAGUGAGGAGCAUAUGGCUUGUAUAAAGCCUGAAAGGAAGAACAUUGUGGUGGAAGAUACUGGUAAUUGUGUGGCUGGCCGGAUGAAGCAAAAGACAGAUAAAGAGUGCAAACAGGUGGUGAGUAACCCGGUUGAUUGUAGCAAGGACAAAUGUACUGGAGGGUCUCCACCUUCUAAGCCUAAAUCACCACCACUACCACCGGUCCACUCCCCACCCCACCACGUCGCACUCCCACCCCACCACGUGCACUCACCACCCCACCCGUCCACUCACCACCCCCACCCGUCUACUCACCACCACCACCAGUGCACUCACCACCACCACCCGUCUACUCCCCACCACCACCCGUCUACUCCCCACCACCACCCGUCUACUCACCACCACCACCCCCACCCGUCCACUCCCCACCACCACCACCAGCAGUACAGUCCCCACCCCCACCAGUACAAUCUCCACCUCCACGAACUCCAUCUCCUCGUCCUGUUGUGUCUACACCGCCACCUACAAAAGAUAUUGUCCUCCCACCAAACAUAGGAUUCGAAUACCAAUCGCCACCUCCACCAAUGUUUCCAGGCUACUAAACAGUACUACAGCCUUAACAUCUUUGUAUUGUAUAUUCUCGCUCUCGGGCAUAAAAGGAAAAAAAAAAGAGCCAUAAAUUACAAUUAUGUCAUUACCUUUUCUUGCGUUUGCAAUUACUAUUCAAAUUGUAACAUCAUUGCGAAAGCUCUUAUAUUUAUAUAUGAAUCUUAAUUACUAGUAACUUUCAUCUUUUCCCUCUUCCUCUUUUGUUAAUAUUGGAAAAAUAAAUAUUUGUGAUAUAUAAUUUAUAUGUCACUUCAGCAUGUUGUGUUGGUUUCGGGUUGCAUCAAUUUCAAUCGGAUCAAUUUGAUUUUUGAUCAUUUAUGUUUAUUUUUUUUUCUUUCAAGAGUGACACUUAAUUUCGAGUUUUUUAUUCAUGUUUUUUAAGUUUGAUUUUUUUUUAUAUGUUGGAAUUGGGUAGGUUUGAUUAUUUACUUUUUGAAAAAAGUUUUGGUUUUCUCCUUAUUCUAAUUUGAUAUCGCAACUAUGUUCCAACAUAAAUUAGAAUAAGAUGGAUUAAUAAAAGUUUUCAAAUAGAAAUAACACACAAGAUUUAUUAACAUAGUUCAUAUAACAUUCUUACUUUGUAAAGCCUUAUUAAGGGUGUACAAAAUUCGAUGGAAAAAGCCACCCAAAUCAACUCAAUUCGAUUUUUUUGUUCGAUUUUAUUGAAUUCAAAUAUCUAAAUAUAAUAUUUUAUAUUUUUACUUCAAACCCCUAAACUUUUUUACUUUUCCUAAAAACUUUUACUCCUCUCCUAUCCCACCCCCAAACCCAUUCCUCCACCCCCCCAAUAUUUUUUUUGAAUAUUCCCCCUCAAAAUUUUACUCUCCAAACUCUAAAACUUUUUAUUUUUCCCUAAAACUGUUACUUUUCAUCAUAUACCCUCAAAUCAAAAAUCAAAAUCAUCCAAUUUCACAUAUUUUCCAUGAAAUUGUCUAAUAUUCAAGAAAUCUUCAUUAUGAUCUCCAUGAGUUGCAAUUACAUGUUUCACUUGAGCAUUGACUUAUAAUGUCAACAAAAGCAAAUCCAAAUAUAACACUAAAGGCAUUCAAAUUAUAUAUAAUCAUGUAAUAUUAUAAUAGAACAGUCAACAAUAUUAAUUAUUUGGUCUAACUAAUAAUAUUAUAAAAUUCUAAAGAUCUUAUUAUAUUAAAAAUUAAAUAUAGCGAGCUUAAGGAAAAAAUCAUAUACCCAAAUUUCGUUGCUUUUAUAUAAUAAAGGUAUUCAUCUUAAUUAGUGCCAUCAAUGUUGGUGUAAUUAAUCUUCCAAAAAUGGUAUAAUUAAUCACAUAUUAUUAUGACGUUUUUUUAUAUUAAAAGGUCAAAUUCGGUUUUUGUCCCUCUACUAUAUUAGAAUUAAAAAUUCAGUCUGUUUUAUUUUAAUUUAGCAUAAUUUGGCCCUCUUACUUCAUUAUUAAUUAAUCUAAAAUGUUAACACCAUUAACUAUUUUAAUCAAAAUACUUAUAUGAUUUUUUUUAAAAAAAAAUCAGUGUUAAGCAUUUAGUUAAUACGUAAUUUUUUAUUAAAAUUUUUUUGAUUAAUUUUUUUUAGAAAAAGCACAAUUAAAAAAAGAAUAAUUAACAAUGCUAAAAAAUUGAUAUAAAAAUAGAAUGACCAAAUCAUAGUGAAUUGGAGUAUAAAAACUAAAUCAUGAAUUUUAGAUAUAGUAGAAGGACCAACAUAUAGUUUGACCUAUUAUAAAAUAAAGAUAGAAAAUUCAAGUUAAAAUUGGUUAAAUAGUAUCUAUACAUAAGCCUUACAUUUCGCUUCGCCUCUAAAGUUACAGAACCUCUAAUUAUAUGUGAAACCAGCAAACUUCUCGAGAACUAAAGCAAGAACCCAACAUCCCAUUCGUCCCCGAUAUAAGCUCCUUUCCAUCUCCAUCAACAUUGCCUAACCAGCCUCGGGCCUUCCAAGGUGAACAAACAAAAUGGCAAGUCGUCAAAGUUUUCAGGCCUUCGGCUGCUUUCAUUUGUUCUUUUGGAUUUUCUUUCGUUCAUUCACACCCACUUUCACAGCCGAAGCGUCUUCAAUCGCUGAUCGUCACCUGUUGUCACUCCCCAAAAAUGGUAAACUCCCCGACGGGUAUGAAUAUACGGUGAAAACGACAGAGAAAUUCGAGAAUGAAAGGCUUAGGAGGGCUUUCAUUGCUCUUCAAGCAUGGAAGAAGGCUAUGUACUCUGACCCCAAGAACAUCACGAGCAACUGGUUCGGGCCCAACGUGUGUGAUUACAAAGGUGUUUAUUGUGUCCGAGCAAUGGAUGACCCCAAAUUAAAAGUUGUGGCUGGUAUUGAUCUUAACCAUGCUGACAUCGCCGGUUACCUUCCGGUGGAGUUGGGGUUGCUGACGGAUGUUGCAUUGAUCCAUUUAAACUCCAACAGGUUUUGUGGGAUCGUCCCUGAGAGCUUAUCUGAGCUUACACUUAUGCAUGAAUUUGAUGUUAGCAACAAUUGGUUCGUGGGGGAUUUCCCCAAAGUUGUACUGUCAUGGCCGAGCGUCAAGUAUAUUGAUCUCCGAUUCAAUAAUUUUGAAGGUUGUUUACCACCUGAGCUCUUCGAAAAGGAUCUAGAUGCAUUGUUUUUGAACGAUAAUCGCUUCACUUGCAACAUCCCUGAAACAAUUGGCAAAUCGACUGUCUCCGUUGUGACAUUCGCCAAUAACAAGUUCGAAGGAUGUAUACCACGUAGCAUUGGCAAGAUGUCGAACUUGGACGAGAUCAUUUUCUCAAACAAUAACCUCGGUGGUUGUUUCCCUCAAGAAAUUGGAUUGCUUCGCAAUGUUACUAUUUUCGAUGCUAGCAAGAACUCGUUCAUGGGUAGCUUGCCGGCAAACUUUUCGGGCUUUGAGAAGGUUGACAUUUUAGAUAUUUCCGGGAACAAGUUGACGGGGAGUGUGCCGGAGGAUAUUUGCAAGUUGCCGAGCUUGUCUAGUUUCAAGUUUUCUUACAACUAUUUCAGUGAGGAGCAUAUGGCUUGUAUAAAGCCUGAAAGGAAGAACAUUGUGGUGGAUGAUAGUGGUAAUUGUGUGGCUGGUCGGAUGAAGCAGAAGACAGAUAAAGAGUGCAAGCAGGUGGUGAGCAACCCGGUUGAUUGUAGCAAGGACAAAUGUACUGGAGGGUCUCCACCUAACCAAAACACACCUACGCCACAUCGUGUAUCUCCAACGGUUCCUACCAAGCCACCAACAGCACCAACACCAGUACCUGAUAAAAUUGAACUCUCUCCAAAGUUUCCUAUUCGCCCACCAAAACCACCUCCAGCACCGGUUCCACCUCCACCAGUCCCUUCCCUACCACCACCCGUCCAAUCCCCACCACCACCUGUGCCCUCCCCACCCCCACCCGUCCACUCACCACCACCACCACCGGUUCCUUCACCCCCACCACCAGUAAAAUCCCCACCUCCACCGGUGNNNNNNNNNNNNNNNNNNNNNNNNNNNNNNNNNNNNNNNNNNNNNNNNNNNNNNNNNNNNNNNNNNNNNNNNNNNNNNNNNNNNNNNNNNNNNNNNNNNNUAUCUCCUCCUCCUGUAUUGUCUAAACCACCACCUACAAAAGAUAUUGUCCUCCCACCAAACUUAGGAUUCCAAUACCAAUCGCCACCUCCACCAAUGUUUCCAGGCUAUUAAAUAGUAUUAUAGCUUUGACAUCUUUAUUUUGUAUGUUCUCCAUCUCGGGUAUAAAAAAAUAACAAAGAAAAGUUCAUAAAUAACAAUUGAGGUAGUUACCUUUUCUUUUUCUUAGUUUCCUCUUCUAACAUGAUUGCCAAAGCUCUUAUCUUUAUCUAUGAAUCUCAAUUACUAGUAGCUCCUCUUUUGUUAAUAUCAGGAACACAAUUAAAAAAUUCUAAGAUUUUUAUCAGCUACACCAAAGAUUUUAUGUCCUAAAAUCUAUUCUAUAGUUAUGUAGAGUCCCCAGCUUCAAGUUUUAAUAUUUAAUGAUUCAACUUUGCUUAUAUUUAUCAUAAAUGAUUAAAUAUGAUUUAUUAUAUAAUAAUAUUUUUAAUAAAUUUAAUUUUGAUUCAUAUAUUUUUUAAUAAAAAAUCUAUAACAAUGCAAAUUAGAAAACUUAAAUUUUUUUUUAAUAAUUAAAGGAAAAAUUCCACAUAAAAUAUAUUAAUAAAAAAAUAUUUCAAAAUUGAUAAAGUCAUACAAAACAAAUACAUAAAUUCAAUUUUUAAUAUAAUUACAUAAAAUCAAACCAUCCUAAGUCCAAUUCUCGAAUUUCAAGUAUGAGCAACAUCCAAAAUUUCAACGUAGAAUCACAAUUUAAAAAUUUAUAAGUUUUGUAAAUAAAUUUGUAUAAAAAGAAACAAAUAUUUAAAAAGUAGAUUAUUAAUAUAUAUGAUAUGAUAUAACAUUAUAUAAUAUAGUAGGAAGGCUAACUUUCAAAUGUAUAAAAACGUAUAGGGACUUAGAGCAUAUUUCAACUAGUAUAAUAAUAAACAAUAAUAUAUAAUAAGUAAUAAGUAAUAUACUACUAUUAUAUAUGUCUAUUUUUAUAAUAUAGAUUAUAAUAAAAUAUAUACCUCCAGCAUGCCGAAUCCAGCAUCAGAAUUCGGUAAUGUACCUGAAAGGGGAACACUAAAGGGGUGAGCUACACGAGUUCAGUGUGAGUUUGAGACAAGACUAACAACAAAAUUACAGACCGGAAUUCCAAAUAGCAAUACAACAGUGAAACGUAUUUACAGAGAUAUACAGAACCAGAAGGCAUACACGAAGCCUACGACCCAAGCGAACGUACUCAAGCAAAGCACUUAUCAUCACACACAGUGUUACAAAACCUCAUCACACGCAAGAACAGUCACAAAUGAUAAGUCAAACAGAUAAAACGCAGACAAACAAACUUACACCCAAUCACUUAAUCAGAUGCUUAUGAAUGCAGUCAAGUAGUGAAAACCCACCAUCUAGCCAAAACACCUCUCCGUCCCCCAAUCACACCCCAAUAGAGUUGUUUAAGCUCAUCCAACCAGACACACCACGUAGGACCUCGAAAGGCCCAUCCAACCCUACACACCAUGUAUAUGGACUAAGCCACUCAGAUAAUAUGUAACACCCCUAACCCUUAUCCAUUACCGGAAUAAGGUUACAGAGUAUUACCGAACUUUAUAGGCUAAUUACGAACAUUUUAUAUCAUUUAAUACACAUAUUAGAAACUAAUCACAAUUCAUUCACAUUGUCCCUUGUAUGAGCCCUCGAGGCCCAAAAUACACAUUAGAAUCAAGUCGGGACCAAACCGGGAACUCAAAGAAUUUUUGCAAAAUUUCAAAAAAAAUUUCCAAGGUACUGGGGACACAUGCCCAUGUGGCUAGGCUGUGUGUCUCACACAGUCGAGAGACAUGCCCGUGUCUCAGGCCGUGUCCAAAUUAGGGUGGCUACUGACUUGGGUCACACGGCGAAGCCACACGCCCGUGUGUUAGGCCGUGUAAACAUACUAACUUGUAUAAUUAAGGUGCAGGGUUCACACAGUCAAGUCACACGCCCAUGUGCCACACACGGCUGAGAUACACGUCCAUGUCUCUGCCCGUGUGAAAAUACUUGAGCCUCCUGUUUCUAAAAUUUAAAGAUGCAGACACACGGCCUAAACACACGCCCAUGUGCUAGGCCGUAUGUCACACACGGCUGAGAUACACGCUCGUGUCUCUGCCCGUGUGGACGAAAAUAGGUCAUUUUAAGGCCACUUUUCUCACCCAUUUUAUUAUCAAACUAUACACAAUAUUUCAAUACAUCAAUACAUCCCAAACAAACAAUUAACACAAGCCAAAAUCAUGUUUUAAGAUAAACAUAACAUCACAAACACUCAAUUACUUAAAUUUACCUAUUUAAUCCAUCUCAUUGGUUUAUCAAAAUCUACUUCUAUUUAUAUAUAUAACCUUUAUAACCAUAUUUUUAAGUACUUCAUUUCCACUCCAACCCUAUACAUGCCAUAUAAACCAAAACAUACGUUGCAAAAGCUACCGGAUUAAGUUAGAUAGUGUGACUUGAUGUAUUGAUCCGAUCUCCCUACCUCACGUUAAUCUACAAGAACAUUAAACAACACAAGUAAGCUUAAUGAAGCUUAAUAAGUUCAAUAGGUUAAACAUAAAUCUUAACAUACAUAUUAUAACAAAUCAUUUAAAUAAAUCAUUCAAUGUACAAUUCCUGCCAAUCACAACUUUAAUUGAUGAAUUCACUUAUCUAAGAUCAAUACCAAUCAUAACAUUAAGUUUUUAUACAUUAAUUUCAUACGUUACUUACCAACCCUUGUUGUAUUGAAGAACAACUUACGGAUAUGAGUACAUUGUAUUCAGAAGCCCGAAGGCUAUACAGAAGCACAUAAGUGCUAAACAGAAACUCAUAAGGGUUGAAUGUGUAACACCCCUUACUCGAGACCAUUGCCGGAGUCAAGCAUGAGGCAUUACUUAGCUUAUCUUACUAAUUCGGAGCUUAAAAAUUUACUUUGAAAAUUAAUUUCACUAUUUACAGCAAACCUGUCCAAUCGCGUAGCAGUUACUAAAUUGAUUAUAACUCGAGCUACGGGAUUCAAAAUUUAAUUUGAUAAAUUUUACCUGAAACUAGACUCAUAUAUCUUCCUACCAUAAAAUUUUUAGAAUUUUUGGCUUAGCCAAUUAGUACAGUUUAUUAGUUAAAGUCUCCCAUGUUUCACCAAUCGACUGCCCUGACCUCUUGUCACUAAAAAUAAAUUUUCUCACUGUAGGAUUUUCAUAUGAAGUUCUUACUUGUUUCUAUAGAAAAUAGACUCAAUAAGUAAUCUAGACAUAUAAACUACAUCUCAUAACCAUUUUUAUACAAUUUUUAAUGAUUUUAUAAACUCAGAACAGGGGACUCCAAAAACAGUUCUGACCUUGUCUCACUAAAAUUCACAUAUCUUAAAAUAUAAAUUUCCUUUUGCUACACCGUUAUUCUUCCUUGAAAAUAGACUCAACAAGAUUUAAUUCCAUAUAUUAUUCACCCUCUAAUUCAUUUUAUACCAUUCUAGGUGAUUUUUCAAAUUCACGUCACUGUGCUGCCUGAAUUCUGUUUCUUUGCAAAAUUUUAUCCUUUCAUGAUUUCCAUGCAUAAUUUAUCACCUAAUCUUUCAUAACAACAAACACCUUCAUACUUAACCAUUUUAAUGACCAUACAUCAUCAAAUGCUUACACAUCAUUCAUUAGCAAAAUCAUCAUUACAAACAUACAAAAUAACUAAAUCCCUAUACAUGCCAUAACUCAAACGUGUUUUGACAUAAAAUACCGAGCAGUUGUGGUUGAUAGUGUGGACGAUCUCCGACUUCUUUAGGAUCCUUGAAGUAGCUUUGCAAUACUAUAAGAGAAAGAGAAAUAAAAGAAGUAAGCAUAAAGCUUAGUAAGUUUACUAGCAAAUAAAUAACAACAUUAAAAACAAAUAAUUAAACUCAAGUGACUAUAUCUCUAGUUUACUCUUUAGUUAAUCUCAUUCUAGUUCUCUUGCUUAUUUACUUAGAAUACUUGUGUGCAUAACUUACUCAUCUCUUGCUGCAUCGUUGAACAUCAAUUGAUAGUAUAAUAAGUUCUUAACUCUUAUAACUUACCUGAGCUUGCCAUUUAUGCUUUAAACUGAACUUUCAUGAAUAUGAUUCGCUUAUUAGCCCGUUGAGCUACAUUGGAACAAUAAGGAUACUCGGGUCUCUUCUGAUAAUAACAUGCCAAAGCCAUGUCUCAGACAUGGUCUUACAUGGGAUGUUCUCAUCUCGGUGCCCAUGCCAUGUCCCAGACAUGGUCUUAUAGGGGACCUCUCAUCUCGGUGCCAACGCCAUGUACCAGACAUGGUCUUACAUGGGACCUCUCAUCUCGGUGCCAACGCCAUGUCCCAGACAUGGUCUUACAUGAGACCUCUCAUCUCGGUGCCAAUGCCAUGUCCCAGACAUGGUCUUACAUGGGACCUCUUUACCCAAAUGUCAUGACAUUUGUAUCCAGUACCAUCCUUAUGUAUCAACGGGACUUUUUAAUUUUAAUUAUCUAUCAUUUCAUGCUUGGAUCAACAUUAAAUAAAUUCAUAAAAUAAAUGCAUAAUUGCUGGAAAAUAACAACAUUAAUAAUAAUUAUUAAAAUAUUGUAUUUAUUUACCGUAAACUUACCUUGGUAUUAAAUAUAGUCCAAUUCACCAACUUAGUCAACUUUUUUCUUCCCUUUGUCUAACCUUGAGUUUCGUUCUUCUUGAUCUAAAAUAGCAAAUUUAACUUAUUUAAUACUCACAUUCAUCAAAACAGCCAUCGACUCUAACUUUUUCAAAAUUACGAUUUUGCCCCUAAACUUUUACAUAAUUACAUUUUUGCCUCAAGGCUCGGAAAUUAAACUUCAUCUCUUAUUCUUAUGUUUUAUGAUAUGCUGAACAUUUUUCCCUUCUAUGGCAACAUCAAAUUCCCACUCUAACAUGUACUUAUGAACAUUAGGUAUUUUUACCGAUUAUGUCGUUUUACUCGUUUUCACUUAAAAUCGCUUAGCAAAAGUAGUUUAACAUAAUUUAUAGCUUCAUAUUCUAUCAUAAAACAUCAAAAUAAACACUUUUCACCUAUGGGUAUUUUUCCAAAUAUAAACCCUAGGUUAAAUUAUUGCUAGAAUAAGCUAAAUUAAGCUACCGGGACUCCAAAAACGUAAAGAACAUUAAAAACGGGGCUUGGGAUCACUUACUAUGGAGCUUGGAAGCUUGAAACCCUAACUAUGGCUUCCCCCUUGCUGAUUUCGUCCUAAUGAAGAAGAUGAGCAUAAUUUGCCAUCUUUUUCCCUUUUAAUUCAUUUUAAUUACUAGAUUACCAAAUUGCCCCUAACUUAAAAAUUUUCUAUUUCACUUAUCUCAUGUCCAUUUUUGUCUACCAACUUAACCAAUGGUCUAAUUACCAUAUAAGUACCUCCAAUUUAAAGUUUCAUAACAAUUGGACACCUCUAACAUGUAGAACUCAACUUUUGCACUUUUUACAAUUUAGUCCUUUUGACUAAAUUGAGUGCUCAAACGUCGAAAUUUUCGAACGAAAUUUUCACGAAAUCAUUUUGUGAAAUCGUAGACCAUAAAAAUAUAAGAAAAAUAAAAUUUUCCUGAUCGGAUUUGUGGUCCCAAAACCACUGUUCCGAUAACCUUAAAUUUGGGCCAUUACAGAAUGAAAACUCAUAAGAGCUGUACGAAAACCCAUAAGGGUUAAACAAAAGCUCAAAAGAGCUGACCAGAAACCCAUUAGGGUUAAACAAAAACUUAUAUGAGUUAACAGAAGCUCGUGAAAUCUAAACGGAGAGUAAACAAGAAUGUUCGCAACAACUGCUGAACCUCGGUUUACUUGGGUAAUUUGCUAUCAAUUCAUCCUUUGCAUUUUCUGUCAAUUCAUCCUUUGCCACAGAACGAUUGUACUCAGCCCCGUGUUCCACUCGUUUUAAACAUUCAAUUCAAUUUCAUAAUUUAACAAUAAUUUUAUUUUCAACAAUAGAUAUGAAUAAAUAUAUAAUAACAUUCAUAAAUUUAAUAAACAAACAUUAAAUUUUAACCAUACGAACUUACCUAAGUUAAGUUGUAAGAUUUGUAGUAGUAUAGAGACUAUUCUGCUAUUUUUUCUUUUUCACGUUUGUCUACGGGCUCUUGAUCCAAAAUAUAAAAUUAUUCAUUCAUUAGCACACAUUUCAGUUUCAAUUCACUUCUCAAUUAAUACCCUUCAAUUUUUGAAAUUACACAUUACCCUAAUUUUUUUACAAUUUUUACAAUUUAGUCCCUCACAAAUUAGCCUAUCAAAUGAGUUAUUUUUUCUCAAUUGACAAUUUAUCUAAAUAUUCUAAGCUAUCAUAUAGCCUUUGAUCAAUAGAAUUUAUUAUCAAACCCUAAUAUUUAAUCUUUUCACAAUUUAGUUCUAAAAUCAAUUUAUAUUAAAAUCACUUAAUAAAAUCAUCAUAUAACAAAAUUAAAGCUCUAAAUCCAUGUUAAUUCAUCACUAGCUUGUGAAAUGGCUUCUCAUAUGAUUAAUUUGAAAAAAUGCUAUGUUUAGAUGCACUAGCUUGUGGCUAUGGAAGUAUGAUAUGCUUAUGACUUGUGUGUUACACCUAUGGAACGAGUGUGGAAAGUAAAGAAAUACAAAUGAGAAUAAAGAAAAUUGGAAGAGUAUAAAGUUGUUUAAAACUCUACUAUACUAGAAAUAAUGUGUAUAAGUGAUGCUGUGGAUUUACUCAUUUUGUGAGUUGUUGAAUAUGGUUUCUUGAAUCGUGUGGUAUCAAUAAAUGUUUAUUCUUGAUAAGUAUAAAUUUCAUAAUAAAAUGGAUUGAUACGAUUAAAGUUUAUAUGAGCUUACUAAGCAAUCAUUGCUUACGUAUUUAUUUUUCUUUAUUUUUUAAAUUAUUAGAAGCUUGAUCGGGUUGGAAGCUUAUCGGAGAUAUAUCACACUAUCCAUCAAUUCUAUCGAUACUUCUGGAUGUUUGAUUUUGGUUAUAAUGGCAUGUUUAUGUUAUUUUGGCUAAAUGUUGGCUUAUAUGUACUUUGUUGGGACUAGCCAAUUAUUUGGCUUGUAUUUUGGUAUUUUGGUUGGUGCAUGAUUUGUUUUAUAAUGUUUAUGUGUGAAUUGAUUAGUGGUUGAAUGAUGAUAGGUAAAAUAGUAGUUGAAUAUGCAUAAUGAUGAUUGUAGGUUGAUACUAAAUUGGAUGAUAAAUAUGGCUUGUAAAAUGACCUAUUUUCAUCCACACAGGCAGAGGCACGGGCAUGUGUCUCAGCCGUGUGGCACACGACUAGGUGACACAGCCGUGUGUCCCCUGUAUCUUUUAAAGAGUGCAAGUCAGUAUGCUCAUACGGCCUAGCACACGGGCGUGUGACUUGGUCGUAUGACCCCUAUAGUGUUAAAAAUUUUGAAUAAUUCUGAAAAAAAUUCUCUGAGUUUUCGAAUUAGUCCUAAUUUUUUACUAAUAUCUAUUUUGGGUCUUGAGGGCUCGUUUAAGGGACAGUAAAUAUGAUUUUAAUUGGUUUUAUUAUGACUAUUGAUAUGUAAUGUAAUGUUUAGAAUUUCUGUCUGAUUAAUCUGUAAACUCUAGUAAUGCUCUGUAACCCUAUUCCGGCAACGGAUAUGGGUUAGGGGUGUUACAAAAAUUAUACCAGGUGUGUACCCUAGACACGAAAAAUUGAGGUUCAACAAAAGCUAAAAAAGGGCACUGUCGACUCUACAUCGGCGUGUGUCUGGCCGUGUGCGAGACAUGGCCGUGUAACAGCGAAGGUGUGGCUAUAUGGGCCACAUAGGCUAGGCUAGAUUGGGUGUGUGGGCUACACGAGCAUGUGGGUUUUAGGCCAGGUCGUGUAGGCCACACGAGCAAGGCCAAUUUGGGCAUGUGGGCCCAAAAUUCUGAAUUUUUUUCUAGGGUCGUACAGGUUGUUCUGAUCGACUAUGGGCCUACCGUAGGGUCGGUAAGGGCCAACCAAACCCUAAUUCAUAUGAUCUGAUAUUCUAAUAGUCUGAUCUAAGUAGGAAAUUGAUAUGCAUGUUUGAUUGUUCUGUUAGAAUAUAUAUUAUCUGUAUACGAGCAUGUUAAGCAUGAUAAUCCUGUUAAUUCUAUAUUUUGUUUCUGUAUUUUGGGUGAGAUUCGCAUAUGUGGAGGAAGUGAUCUGUACGGCGACCUUUCGCCUAUUAUCUGGCACUUGGCUGUAUAUUAUUAUGUUAUGUGUCGCAUCGACACUAUAUGGUGUGUAGGGAUGGGUGGGUGUUUUUAACCCCACAUGGUGUGAUGGGAUGGUCAGAGAUGGUGUGUAGAGGAUGAGGGUAAGAUUUUAUAUAUCUAUUUUGUACAUCUGAUUUUGAUAUCUGUAUUUGUUAAGGACUUAGGUUCGAUUCUAUUUUUGUCUGCAUAUGAGAUUCUGUGAAUUUUGCAUAACUAUCUCUGUUGGGUUAGACAUUGAGUUUACGAAAAUUCACAUCUGUUUGUCUUAUCUGUAUAGGUAACCCUCAGUCAUAGGCGGGUUGGUGCGAUGGAGGCUCAUUGGUGACCACUUGUUGGGAAACUAUUUCCCCAUUACCAUUAGUGCGGUAUUUUAAAUUCUGGAUUUAUUUGAGAGUUUGUAAUUUUUGGGACUCUCUAGACUAUAUGGUUUUAACUGUUGGUUUUGGUUUGGUUGCGUUUAAGUUUUUUAAAAUUAUGAUGAUUGACAAAUUGCGAUUUUAUGCGAAUAAAUGUUUUGAAAACACUGGCAAAUGGUUUUUGAAGACAAAAAUGAUUUUUCAUAUUUCCGCUGCAAAUUAAUCAGAUACUUUAAAGGAUAAUGUAUAAUCAUUUUUAUUAAGAUUAUAAAAACGAGUUUCUUCAAAACAUAUAGACUCUGUUUGGUAUCAAAUAACGCGAUUUAUUUUAACCAAAAAGAUGUGUUUUAAAACCCUUUUUUGUAACACUCUCUGAUUCAACUAUAACAUCUAGGUUGGGUUUGGGGUGUUACAACAGUAGUUUUUAAAGCAUCAUCUUUUUCUUAGACCACGUUCCCAAACCUUUUUUCUCUCCAUUGAGGGCCUACAAUAAUGUUGCUCAAUACAUGGUGUACGUAAACUUAAAGUAUUGUUGGAAUUAUCUUCACUCAUAAACACCUACCUUAUCGUUUUAGGUGACAAACUAUCUCAUACUAAUAUGUCUAUUUAUUUAAUAUUGUCAUGCAUUGAAUACAAAAUAUGUUAGCAUCACUGAGUUAUCAAUGCUUAGCAUGCGAAUGUGUUUGUUUCGUGAUUUGUCGUAAUUUGAUAUGUCAAAUUAGGCUCUCCAUUACGCUGGAAGAGUUUAUUCUCUAGCAAUUUGGAUGUCUUUUUCGUGUUUUUAUUUUGUUUUAGCUUUUCGCUUCAAUAAGUGAUUUGGUGUGAUUUAUGUUAUUUUUUAGACCCAAGUUGGCCAAAUAUGCCAUUGGGAACUGAACGAGUUGAUUGAGUGUUGUAGGGAGUUGAUGGUGGCCCAAACGUGAAGAAAACAUCACUUAGAAUGAGGUAUCGUGAUAUCGAAACAUGAAAGUUACCAGUGUUGAAACGAAAAGAAUUGAAGCCAUCUUCAGUGGUAUCGCGAUACCAACCAUGGCUAUCACGAUACUGAGACAUCCAAGGACCCCCCAUUUCAAGACAGUCGUGGGUAUCGUGAUACCAGAGCCUUGGUAUCAUGAUACCCCUGUCAAGCGGAGACAAAAGAUUACUGUAGGGGUAGUCCUUGUCCAACCUCAACACCAAUCAAAAUUAGACCCUGAGGGGCAUUUUGGUCACAAAAUUGGGUUGUAAUCAGCUGAAAAACUACCUUUUGGCUGUAAGAAAAAAAAGUUUUUCACUUUCUUUAAUUUUUAUCAUCUUUUUAGUUUAGGGUUUUGUUACUUUUUUUAUCUUUUUAGGGUUUAGGCUUCAACUUUUCUGAUUUUUGGUUAAAUAGUUAGUUAGUUAAGUUUACUGUAGCUUGGUGCUAAUUGUUAUUUAGUACCUUAAAAUUUCUUUGUAUUUGCACUUUAAUCCUUAGUUUUAAUAUAACUCAGCCUUGUUUUAUUGUACCUGUUAAAAAUAUUAUCUUUUUGUGUUUUUACUUGCUACUAUUGCUGCCAUUGUUGUUUUCUUCAAGCUUUUGUAAGAAAGCUUAAGUUUUUCUUCUCAACUUUUCCUUGGGUUUACUUUGAUACAUAUUUUGCUUGAAUGUCAGAUGUUACUUGGUUAGAAGUGAAUAUGAGUAGUAAAAUCCUAGGUGACUGGUUGAUGAAAAUGUUGUUUAGUUAUUUUUUGGUUUAGGGAUUAAAUCGCAAAAUUUGCACUAAAUUGAAUAGACUUCAAAACUUAGGAUUGACGCCGCUAAGGAAACUUUCAGAUGAGUGAGACUAAGAGGAGAUCUCAUUGAGCACCGAUUCAAUAUUCCUAGAUUAGUUUGGUGAGGUCGAGAGAUAAAUCGGACUAAUUUGUCUAACUUGGUAAAAUUGAAAUUGAGAGGUAAAAUUAAGCCAAUUUAGGAAUACAAGUGAUUUAGAUCCCUAAUCCGAAGGUUAAUUAACAACAUGGAAGUCAACCAACUAUUGUCUGUUAUUGAUUAGUCAAUUUUGUAAUUUUGUUUGUUUCACAAUUUAGUCAUUGUUCGUAAUUAGGAAAUUAAGUAGCACAAUUAACCUCAAUUAUGGUUUGUCAUAAUAUUACACAUAGUGAGUAGUAAGCUAGACUUCUUAAUUGCAUGUCAAUUAUUUAGGAUCACUUAAUCCUGACUCGUGUGGGUUCGAUCCUUGGAAUACUUGAGUGUUUAAGUGAACAUUACAAAUAUUACAACUACCCUGUCACACUUGAAGCAUAUCACAUUAUAUUUGAUUAUUUAGUGUUGAUUCUUUGCCCCGGUGUUCGCUUGCCAAUGGCAGAAGUGGUCAUUCCGUGCACAAGUAAUGAACAGAUCCUAGAUUAGUUUGAAAAACUCUGAAGCAUCCAAAGCUUUGUGACUCAACUCAGCAAGUGUUUAUAUUCCUUUUAAACCUAAGUAGUAGGUAGUAUGUACAUAGAAAGAAUUAUGAGUCUUAUGUGUUAUUUUGGUCAUUUGAUAUCUUUUGGACCCAUAAGGGUCCUAAUGUCGAAAUUUGAAACAUAAUUAUGAUGGUUAAAUGCAUGUUUCCAUAAGUUCAACCCCUCGCUCUUUAUUUCAAGGCAUGAUGCAGUAAAUGCAAUGUUUUCGAAUGUUUGAGAUGUAUAUAUAUUUUGAGUUUAAAAUUGCUAACUUACUCAUGUUUAGAUAAAAUGCAUUAGAUGUCGUAAAUUGAGUGCUAUGGUUAAGAAUGAGAAUGUCAAAUGUGUCGGUAUUGUUUAUACACAAAUAGGUAACCAUUUACAUGACUUAAAAGAUUAUAUAGGUAUGCUCUUGGGGGUUAGAAAAUAGGUGAUGUUGCGAUCUUGGCAUCCCAACGUCACGACUUCCUCGUCCAACAUUGUGACCAUGCUUGAUUCAUGUUGCGACCUCACUAAAUAAUUAGUGACAUAGUGACUUUCUUUGUUUCGAUAACCUGACUUCAUUCAUUGUUUUAGUAUAAAUUUUCAAAAAAAUUUCGAUGAUUCACGACUGAUUUGACAGGCAUGACCUGAAUCAAGACAUGUCUCCAAAAAAUUAAGCCCUCGUAACUUGUCUAUUUCCAGUAAAUUUAUAUAAAUGUUUUAAAUUUUGAUUUUAUAUCAUAUAGAAAUUAAAGAUUAUAACUCGAAUUGCUUCAAUAACGAAACGUAUCAUCUCAAAUUCGAGUCCACUGUCUGAAUCAGAUAUGAGGUGCCAUACAUUCAACAUAUAAUAUGUUUUAGAAAAAAAAACCCUUCAAACCAUGAUUAAACUUCAUUGAAACUAAUGACCAGAGUUUAAAGUCCUUUAUUUCCAUAUACACUCAAAUUGAAUUACAAUCAAAAGAAAAGGUGCAAACCUCAAAGUUUUCAAACUUAAGAAGGAGUCAUCUGUUUGUUUUUCGCAUAGAAACAAAAACCCCAGAAAUUAUUCCAAAAAAAACUAAAUUUAAGGAAGAAACCCAACAAAUGGAACCGAAGGAGCAGCAUGAGAGCGGAUAGGCAUCGACAUUAUGACGGGCCGGUUACUAUCAUUUUGGUGAAUGACAAUCCCAACAGCUUCAGCCACAACGAUGACAAACUUUAUAACUAGUUUUACCAUCUCCACGCACAUCUCUAAUCUCUGCAGCACCAUUCCCGCAAAAGCUCUUUCCUUGUUUUUCUUUUUGGGUCGCUAAUUCUAUUUUUCGCGUCGCUAUUUAUAUAUGCAAGACAUGGCGUCGCUAACUGGGAAUAAAAAAAGGGUUGUUUAAAGGAUAGAUAAAUACGGCCUCUGGAACAUCCAAAGGUCGUUUUUGUGUCAUUGGUUAAUUGUUUCUUGGAAAUUUCGAUUAUUUCAAAAAAUCAUUUUAUUUACCCACAUGUCUUCUAGUUGGUACCAGAUC
Molecule: long non-coding RNA, 43350 nt
Filed under: Gossypium raimondii (Peruvian cotton)
Lineage: Eukaryota; Viridiplantae; Streptophyta; Magnoliopsida; Malvales; Malvaceae
Description: long non-coding RNA (GRAI_LNC010249)
Source: RNAcentral